CUUCCCCGUUACUCCUCCUCUUCCAAUCUACAAAUGUUGUUUUUUUUUGUUUGCUAAAAUUUGGAAUCUACAAACGUUAGUUACAAUAAAGCAUCGAUUCUCAGAUUACCCAGAUAUGCUCACUUAGGAUGCUCCAAGAUGUCGUCAACGUUUAUAAGAAGGGGCUUGACAUGGAUCCAAGCAACGUAUGGUUACAAUCAUGUUUGGCAGGCACUCAAGUUUUUGGGUCGAGUCCUCACGCUGUCUUAGAUUCAUUUGGGGAUGCUUUCCAAUGGCUCGAGAUAUCAAAGAACUAAAGAACAGAUUCUUCAGCAAUAGUUUCAGGACUCAGGAAGGUGAAGCAGUGGUGGAUCAGGAGGAUAAGAUGGAUAUACCUCCAAGGAAGGAGCCUGAGGUAGAGAAGAAACAAAAACCAGAGCAUCAACCUGAGUUGGAGUUUGUUGAAGAAAAGGAGAGUAAGGGGAGGAAGCAGAUAGCUUUAAAGAAGAUAGAUGAGCAGCUACCGUGCUUACCUCAAACACAAAAUCUUCGAAGAUGAGUCUGUGAUCAAAACAUUUUACGAAGCAGAGAAAGCUCCUCAUGGACAGUUAUGUAUAGCUGUGAUUUGUAGAAUAUGAUCAAGCACGGAGAGACGCAAAGCUUGCAACCAAUGUCUUGAAGGAGAAAAAGAAAAGCAUAGAUAAACCGAGGGUUAUCAUAUCGAUCUCUCACACAACUUCUGCAACCCAUUUGAUUGCACAGGGGUAGUUGUUGGCAUUUAUACAGCCAACAGAUGGUGCAAACUGCAAUGUUGGAGUUUGAGGUACCAUGUCCAGAUAACCGUCUCCAUAGCAUCUGACUCUGCUGAGUUUGUAGCUUUCGACUCUGAUAUAAGUAAGCUGACUAAUAUCAGAACUGCAGAGAUCUCCAACAAAUGGUAAUUUUGAACAACUUGCUAUGAGCUAGACAUGACUGUGAUGUGCCUUAGAUACUCUAAGCGGUAAAGUUUAUGGAGAUACGCCCUACCUUGACACAGUUAUGUUCAGAUUUACACAGUUAUGCUCUGUCUUACAUUAAUUAGUUUGAUUCCCUCUUUCUAUUGUAUGGUUCAACAUGGAGAAGCUUUUUGUUUUCCUU
This is a long non-coding RNA of Raphanus sativus (radish), 1116 nucleotides long. RefSeq lists it as uncharacterized. The record is from RefSeq and is a predicted model, not a curated record. The transcript has 4 exons. Lineage: Eukaryota; Viridiplantae; Streptophyta; Magnoliopsida; Brassicales; Brassicaceae.